AACGAACGCUGGCGGCGUGCCUAACACAUGCAAGUCGCGCGAGAAAGUCCGCAAGGAUGAGUAAAGCGGCGAACGGGUGAGUAACACGUAGGUAACCUGCCUUACAGUCUGGGACAACCUGUCGAAAGACGGGCUAAUACUGGAUAAGACCAAGACUCUUUCGGGAGCAGUGGUAAAAGAUGGCCUCUUCAUGACAGCUAUCGCUGAAAGAUGGGCCUGCGCACCAUUAGCUAGUUGGUAGGGUAACGGCCUACCAAGGCUACGAUGGUUAGCUGAUCUUAGAGGAUGAUCAGCCACACUGGAACUGAAACACGGUCCAGACUCCUACGGGAGGCAGCAGUGGGGAAUAUUGCGCAAUGGGGGAAACCCUGACGCAGCAACGCCGCGUGAGUGACGAAGGCCUUCGGGUCGUAAAGCUCUGUCGGAGGGGAAGAAACUACCAAUGGCUAACAUCCAUAGGUAUUGACGGUACCCUCAAAGGAAGCACCGGCUAACUCCGUGCCAGCCGCCGCAGUAACAC
Molecule: ribosomal RNA, 520 nt
Filed under: uncultured bacterium
Lineage: Bacteria
Description: bacterial SSU rRNA
Rfam family: Bacterial small subunit ribosomal RNA
Source: RNAcentral